GCUAAACCCACUGGAACCCAUGGAACCCGUUUACUUCCAAAGCUAACCUACUUCGAGUCUUCGACCCUUUCCGUCAUUCACCAAAACGCAACUCUCUCUCUGGAACUCAACCCAAUCUGAGCACAGCAACCUCCCAUUCAUUUCUGUCACCCAAAUCCCAACUCUCUCUCUCUCUCUAUAUAUCUCUCAUCUCUCUCUGCGCGCCCAAUUUGCCAAGUCUUUGUAUCUGUGUAAAUGACGCCAGAGAUAACCCAAAACUAGAUACAGUUGCUUGCACGAUCUCUGAAAGCAAAGAAGAAUCUCACAAUACCCAAAAAAGAUGAGUUUAAAUGAUGAGUCUCAAUUUAUAUCUGUGGAGGAAAGAGGAGAAGAUGCUACAACAAAUGUACAAGGAGAUGAUUUGCCUUCUAGAAGAAAUCGGACGAGAUAGGCUGUUAAAUAUGAUAAUUAUAUUGUAAUAUGUAUAUAUUAAUUGAUCUGAAUAUAUUUCUCUAAUAGUUGAUCAAAAAAUGAAUCAAAAAUUACAUAAGUCUUAACGGAUUUUAAUGGAUUUGGGAAAAAAAAUUUAUAUACAUAAGUCUUA
This 583-nucleotide long non-coding RNA is filed under the name Rosa chinensis. Its description in RNAcentral is "sRNA RchiOBHm_Chr6g0251421". The record is from RNAcentral. Lineage: Eukaryota; Viridiplantae; Streptophyta; Magnoliopsida; Rosales; Rosaceae.